This 630-nucleotide ribosomal RNA is filed under the name Aliinostoc sp. BACA0035. RNAcentral describes it as "bacterial SSU rRNA". It matches the Rfam family "Bacterial small subunit ribosomal RNA", at positions 114 to 777 of the family's 1533-position model. The record is from RNAcentral. Lineage: Bacteria; Bacillati; Cyanobacteriota; Cyanophyceae; Nostocales; Nodulariaceae.
CGCGUGAGAAUCUAGCUCUAGGUCGGGGACAACCACUGGAAACGGUGGCUAAUACCGGAUGUGCCGAGAGGUAAAAGGCUUGCUGCCUAGAGAUGAGCUCGCGUCUGAUUAGCUAGUAGGUGUGGUAAGAGCGCACCUAGGCGACGAUCAGUAGCUGGUCUGAGAGGAUGAUCAGCCACACUGGGACUGAGACACGGCCCAGACUCCUACGGGAGGCAGCAGUGGGGAAUUUUCCGCAAUGGGCGAAAGCCUGACGGAGCAAUACCGCGUGAGGGAGGAAGGCUCUUGGGUUGUAAACCUCUUUUCUCAGGGAAUAAAAAAAUGAAGGUACCUGAGGAAUAAGCAUCGGCUAACUCCGUGCCAGCAGCCGCGGUAAUACGGAGGAUGCAAGCGUUAUCCGGAAUGAUUGGGCGUAAAGGGUCCGCAGGUGGCCCUGUAAGUCUGCUGUUAAAGAGUGAGGCUUAACCUCAUAAGAGCAGUGGAAACUACAGAGCUAGAGUGCGUUCGGGGUAGCAGGAAUUCCUGGUGUAGCGGUGAAAUGCGUAGAGAUCAGGAAGAACACCGGUGGCGAAAGCGUGCUACUAGGCCGUAACUGACGCUGAGGGACGAAAGCUAGGGGAGCGAAUGGGA